This 253-nucleotide ribosomal RNA is filed under the name uncultured bacterium. RNAcentral's name for it is "partial 16S ribosomal RNA". It matches the Rfam family "Bacterial small subunit ribosomal RNA", at positions 524 to 776 of the family's 1533-position model. The record is from RNAcentral.
GACGUAGGGAGCGAGCGUUGUCCGGAUUCAUUGGGCGUAAAGAGCGCGCAGGCGGUUUGGUAAGUCGGAUGUGAAAUCCCGGAGCUCAACUCCGGGCCUGCAUCCGAUACUGCCCGACUAGAGGUAGGUAGGGGAGAUCGGAAUUCCUGGUGUAGCGGUGAAAUGCGCAGAUAUCAGGAGGAACACCGGUGGCGAAGGCGGAUCUCUGGGCCUUACCUGACGCUCAGGCGCGAAAGCUAGGGGAGCGAACAGG